GCACAGCCCUGGCCCUGGCCCGGAAGGGUGCCCAACUGGGCCUGGUGGCAUUCCGGCGCCAUUACAUGAUCACACUGGAAGUCCCUGCUCGAGACAGGAGCUAUGCCUGGUUGCUUAGCUGGCUCACCCGCCACAGUACCCGUACUCAGCACCUCAGUGUCGAGACUUCGUACCUUCAGCAUGAGAGCGGCCGCAUUUCCACUAAGUUUGAAUUUGUCCCCAGCCCUGGAAACCACUUUAUCUGGUAAGGUUGGGAGCUAGGGAGGGCUGUGAGAGUAGAAAAGAAUGAUGGGAACAGGGUUUGACCCAUUCACUCACUCUGUUUUGAUUGUUCUUAUUCAGGUAUCGGGGGAAAUGGAUCCGGGUAGAACGAAGUCGAGAGAUGCAGAUGAUAGACUUGCAGACGGGGACUCCUUGGGAAUCUGUCACCUUCACGGCCCUGGGCACUGACCGAAAGCUCGAGAGCUAGCCUUGCAGCAGGAGGAAGGGAAGACUGUGAUGUACACAGCUGUGGGCUCUGAAUGGCGUCCCUUUGGCUAUCCACGCCGCCGGCGACCACUGAAUUCUGUAGUUCUACAACAGGGUCUGGCUGACCGAAUUGUCAGAGACGUCCAGGAAUUCAUCGAUAACCCCAAGUGGUACACUGACAGAGGCAUUCCUUACAGACGUGGCUACCUGCUUUAUGGGCCCCCUGGUUGCGGAAAGAGCAGUUUUAUCACAGCCCUGGCUGGGGAACUGGAGCACAGC
RNAcentral lists this small RNA (747 nucleotides) under Pongo abelii (Sumatran orangutan). RNAcentral describes it as "retained intron". Lineage: Eukaryota; Metazoa; Chordata; Mammalia; Primates; Hominidae. The record is from RNAcentral.